This is a long non-coding RNA of Paramormyrops kingsleyae, 191 nucleotides long. RefSeq lists it as uncharacterized. The record is from RefSeq and is a predicted model, not a curated record. NCBI's taxonomy places the organism in Eukaryota, Metazoa, Chordata, Actinopteri, Osteoglossiformes, Mormyridae.
AAUGUCUCUUUAUAUACUGAAAGGUACAGUAAGGACGGGGAAGGCUUCUGACUUUCAGCUGAACUCUUGCACGUCUUCCACUGGCUCGGAAUUUACACUCGGCAAGCAGACGGGAGCUGCGCAACAAGUCCGGUGGUAUUUAAUGGGAGCAGAACAGAAACAGAGGUUGACAAGCACCCACGGGUAACAUC